UGCCUAGCAAGACCUCAGCCUUUCGCGCCCGCGCCCCCACCCCAGGAAUUUAACCCCCUCCCCGCCGAGGGCCGCGCCACAGCGCCGCAUUCCUGGCCCGCGGGGACCCGGGAGAAGGGGCCAGGGAGACCCGGCGAGGGAGAAGAUCCCUCCAACUCCUCCACCCGGAGCCGGCGGGCCGUGCGCUCUGGAGGGCAGAGCGGGCAGCUGCGCCACAGAGGCGGGGUCGGAGUAGGAGGCGGCCCUGAAAUCGGGAAGCUGGGCGCGCCCACUCCCCAACCAGCUGCAGAAAGCCUUCCACCUGCUCCCCUGAGCGACCCCACGCUGAGACCGAACCCCCGUACCCUAGCCUCGUUCACCACCCCCACCCUCUGGCCUGGGCUGCUUUGACCUGAGGGAGCGAGUGCUCAGUGCCCAGUGAACUGCUGUCAGGGAGCAAGUGUGGAGGCUGUCAGUGGUGCAGCAGGCACGUGCGCUGUCCCGAGGCAGCAGCUCCCAGGUAAGAUGGGACCUAUUCCUUCCUCAGCAAAGACAUGCGCAUGCCGGUCACCUCAGCUGAAUGACCACAAAGCCUGGAGGAAAUGUGGAGUUUGCAGGGGAAGAGAGACCAAGUACCAUCAAUGCUUCUGUGGGCAGGUGAACAUCUCCAUCUCUGCCUGAGGUUCUCUCCAGCUCCACCUCAUGCCCCACCACUAACACUCAGCGACAGGAUGAAAAUGAGCUGCAGAGAUGAAGUCUCCCUACUGGCUGGGUCAGCAAAGAGACUCAACGUUUCCUUUUCCAUUUCAGAAAGAUCUGAAGUCUGGACGAGUAAAGAAAGAUGAAACAGGCACAGAUUUAGACUAAGUAUAUAUUUUAAUUUCUACAAGGUCCCCCUUUCAAGUUUUAGGAACAUUUAAAUGAAUUGUAUACAAAUUAGACAUUGCCAAUAUGUACAAAAGUAUUUUCUACAGUUUUUGAACAGUACCAGCUAUAUCAUGUUUCAUUUGCAGUAAACAAGAUGUUACAAAAACAGUCCAAUAAUACAUUUUCUAUUAAGAAGCACAAUACACAACAUAAUUAAAUUUUAUUAAAAAAUAACUUAAAAUACAGAACAAUCCCCUCUAGGCAAAGCUAUUUCUGUAGUUCAUUCAGUAAACACACAAUUGAAUGCUGUGGCUGAGGGCUGUUCUUUUCCAUGGAGGAAACAAUCAAGGCUUCCAGGGCCCACCUUUUUUGGGAUGAACUCCCCCGCAGUGGGCAGUUAUUGUCUGGAGUAGGCAGGGUUUUAGAACAUCCUGCCCCACCUGCACCCCCCGCUUCGUGCCCCCACCCCAGGACCCUGCACCUAUGUAGUCACUCCUGCGAUUACGCUAUGAUCUAUGGCAGAGCCGACCUGAAAACAGGGAGACUUGAUCAGUGGGCUUCUUCUAAUCAUACAAACCUUAAAAAUGAAGGAGGAAGGCAAGGGGAUGGGAAGCAUAAUGGGCUACUGAGGGUCUGAAGAUGGAGGGGAACGUGCAAGAAGGAAUGCGAGCAGCCUUCAGGAGCUGAGGGAGAAGCCACCAGCUGACAACCAGCAAGGAACCAAAUGAACUUGGAAGUAGAUUCUUCCCCAAAGCCUCCAUGAAGGCUGCCCUGCUGACUCUUGAUUUCAGCCUGUGAGACCCUGAGCAGAGAAUCCAGCCAUACUACGCCAGACUCACAAGCUACAGAACUGAGCUCAGAAAUGGGUGUUGUUUUAAGCUGCUAAGUGUGGGGUAAUUUGUUACAUAGCAAUAGAAAACGAAUACAUUGUCCAAGGAUAACUUUUCUUAACCUAAUUAGACUCGGCAGUUUCUGUUUGAGUUCUGAAUGCAUUUUUUUUUUCAGAGUAUUACAGGCAACUUUUGAAAACCCUUCACAUGAAU
This is a long non-coding RNA of Ailuropoda melanoleuca (giant panda), 1889 nucleotides long. RefSeq lists it as uncharacterized. The record is from RefSeq and is a predicted model, not a curated record. Lineage: Eukaryota; Metazoa; Chordata; Mammalia; Carnivora; Ursidae. The transcript has 3 exons.